Molecule: ribosomal RNA, 384 nt
Filed under: uncultured eukaryote
Lineage: Eukaryota
Description: partial 18S ribosomal RNA
Rfam family: Eukaryotic small subunit ribosomal RNA
Source: RNAcentral
CAAUAGCGUAUAUUAAAGUUGUUGCGGUUAAAAAGCUCGUAGUUGGAUCUCGGCGAGCAGGGGGCGGUUCGAUGUUCGUCGUUACUGCCCCAUUUGCUCGUGUGAUUGGCGGGGGCUGCGGGGUGCUCUUCGUUGAGUGUCCCGUGGUGCCGUCGGGUUUACUUUGAAAAAAUUAGAGUGCUCAAAGCAGGCUUCACACGCUUGAAUAUUCGUGCAUGGAAUAAUGGAAUAGGAACUCGUUUCUAUUUUGUUGGUUUUCGGAAAUUGAGUUAAUGAUUAAUAGGGACAAUUGGGGGCAUUAGUAUUCAGACGACAGAGGUGAAAUUCUUGGACCGUCUGAAGACUAACUACUGCGAAAGCAUUUGCCAAGAGUGUUUUCAUUAA